RNAcentral lists this transfer-messenger RNA (350 nucleotides) under Oscillospiraceae. Its description in RNAcentral is "Vescimonas sp902765025 Standard tmRNA". It matches the Rfam family "transfer-messenger RNA". From Rfam's summary of the family: Bacterial tmRNA, also known as 10Sa RNA or SsrA, is named for its dual tRNA and mRNA-like properties. The record is from RNAcentral. Lineage: Bacteria; Bacillati; Bacillota; Clostridia; Eubacteriales. RNAcentral also lists the same sequence under 1 other name.
GGGGAUGUAACGGUUUCGACGGGGGUGCGGAGCCAGGAUAAGCGGGCGGUGGCGCCUGGCCACCUUAAAACGGGCAAUUUAUAAAUUAAAGAACAACGAUAAUACCGUUGCCGUCGCUGCCUAAGUCAGCGACCGUCUGAACCGGAGAGGCCGCAGGCCGGGGAAGGCGUCGUUUAUGCGGCGUCCGUGCGGCGGGAAAGAGUUGACCCGCCCACGCAUUAUGACUCUACUGAACCGUAACGUCUGUUAAGUGCCGUUGCGGGGAGGGAAUGUUUAAAUCUUAACUGCGCCCGGAGAAAAUCCUGAGGAAGUGCUUUCGGACAGGGGUUCGACUCCCCUCAUCUCCACCA